Molecule: ribosomal RNA, 493 nt
Filed under: uncultured bacterium
Lineage: Bacteria
Description: partial 16S ribosomal RNA
Rfam family: Bacterial small subunit ribosomal RNA
Source: RNAcentral
AUAGAACGCUGGCGGCAUGCUUUACACAUGCAAGUCGAACGGUAACAGGUUAAGCUGACGAGUGGCGAACGGGUGAGUAAUGCAUCGGAACGUGCCCGAUCGUGGGGGAUAACACUUCGAAAGAAGUGCUAAUACCGCAUACGAUCUGAGGAUGAAAGCGGGGGACCGUAAGGCCUCGCGCGAUCGGAGCGGCCGAUGUCAGAUUAGGUAGUUGGUGGGGUAAAGGCUCACCAAGCCGACGAUCUGUAGCUGGUCUGAGAGGACGACCAGCCAACCUGGGACUGAGACACGGCCCAGGCUCCUACGGGAGGCAGCAGUGGGGAAUUUUGGACAAUGGGCGCAAGCCUGAUCCAGCAAUGCCGCGUGCAGGAAGAAGGCCUUCGGGUUGUAAACUGCUUUUGUACGGAGCGAAAAGGCUCCCUCUAAUACAGGGGGCUCAUGACGGUACCGUAAGAAUAAGCACCGGCUAACUACGUGCCAGCAGCCGCCGCAG